This is an unclassified non-coding RNA of Otolemur garnettii (small-eared galago), 100 nucleotides long. It matches the Rfam family "Y RNA". From Rfam's summary of the family: Y RNAs are components of the Ro ribonucleoprotein particle (Ro RNP), in association with Ro60 and La proteins. Lineage: Eukaryota; Metazoa; Chordata; Mammalia; Primates; Galagidae. The record is from Ensembl.
GGUUGGUCUGAGUGUAGUGAUGUUUACAAUUAAUUGAUCACAACCAGUUAGAUUCUUUUGUUCCUUCUCCACUCCCACUGCUUCCCUUGACUAGACUUUA